AUGCUGUUCUCUCAGCCUGGGAUGCCCAUGUGCAAGGGAGGACGUAUGGCCAAGGAGAGAGCGUCACAGACCUGGUGGACACAGAGCCCAGUGGAGUGGGGAGAGAUGAAGAGGAGGAAUGGGAACUCACACGGUGACUCAGAAGUGCAGAGGCAUGGAUCAAUGGAGCAGCGAUGGAGGGGGCAUCCGGUCACACACACAUGCAUGCAUAGACAUGCCCAUAAAUGCUUGCAAACAUACGUACACACACAGAGGGAGCAAUCAGAACACACACAUGCAUGCAUGGACAUGCCCACACAUGCUCACACACACACACACAGGGAGCAUCAGAACACACACAUGCAUGGACAAGCCCACACAUGCUCACAUAUGCACACACACAGGGAGCAUCAGAACACACACAUGCAUGCAUGGACAAGCCCACACACGCUCACACACAGGGAGCAUCAGAACACACACAUGCAUGCAUGGACAUGCCCACACAUGCUCACACACGCACACACACAGGGAGCAUCAGAACACACACAUGCAUGCAUGGACAUGCCCACACAUGCUCUCUCACACACACACACAGGGAGCAUCAGAACACACACAUGCAUGCAUGGACAUGCUCACACACACACACACACACACAGGGAGCAUCAGAACACACACAUGCAUGCAUUGACAUGCCCACACAUGCUCACACACACACACACACACACAGGGAGCAUCAGAACACACACAUGCAUGCGUGGACAAGCCCACACACGCUCACACACACACACACACACACAGGGAGCAAUCAGAGCACACACAGAGGAGAGGAUGGGGUUCUCACCCCAGCCCUGGGAGGAGGGGAGUGGUCGUGACCCUGGCCCUGGGAGGAGGGUAGGUGUCGUGACUCCCACACUGGGAGGAGAGGAGGGGGUCGUGACCAGAGCCCUGAGAGGAGUGGAGGAGGUCGUGACCUCAGUCCUGGGAGGAGAGGAGGCUGUGACCUGGCACUGGGAGGCAGCGUGA
This 1002-nucleotide long non-coding RNA is filed under the name Oryctolagus cuniculus (rabbit). Its description in RNAcentral is "lncRNA (ENSOCUG00000029973.1)". The record is from RNAcentral. Lineage: Eukaryota; Metazoa; Chordata; Mammalia; Lagomorpha; Leporidae.